UGGGAAAUAGCCAAGCGGUAAGGCCCUAGUCUCUGAAUCUAGUACCAUUGGUUCGAAUCCAAUUUUCCCAGCCA
Molecule: transfer RNA, 74 nt
Filed under: Mycoplasmataceae bacterium
Lineage: Bacteria; Bacillati; Mycoplasmatota; Mollicutes; Mycoplasmatales; Mycoplasmataceae
Description: tRNA-Gln
Rfam family: tRNA
About the family: Transfer RNA (tRNA) molecules are approximately 80 nucleotides in length. Their secondary structure includes four short double-helical elements and three loops (D, anti-codon, and T loops). Further hydrogen bonds mediate the characteristic L-shaped molecular structure. tRNAs have two regions of fundamental functional importance: the anti-codon, which is responsible for specific mRNA codon recognition, and the 3' end, to which the tRNAs corresponding amino acid is attached (by aminoacyl-tRNA synthetases). tRNAs cope with the degeneracy of the genetic code in two manners: having more than one tRNA (with a specific anti-codon) for a particular amino acid; and 'wobble' base-pairing, i.e. permitting non-standard base-pairing at the 3rd anti-codon position.
Source: RNAcentral